AAGUCGUAACAAGGUUUCCGUAGGUGAACCUGCGGAAGGAUCAUUAACACGUAUUCAACGUUAAACCCCCCGUGCACACAGCGACCUGCUCCCCUCAAUUUCGGUCUUUUGGCAAUCCCUGGUAAAUCAUCGCCGAACAGUUUUGAUUAGGGUAUUUAAGUAGUAGUCAAUGCAAAAGCGACCUGGUUUCUUUGAAGCAGAAAGUGUGAUGGCGUGAGCCAGAGAACGGACCGAGAGGUAGUUCGAAGGUGCCUUCUGUCGCGCACUGUGGAAAGGAAGACGCUUUACGAAUCACUGUCCAACACGGCCAGUGACCGGGUUCCUGGUCCUAGACCCCAUAUUCACCACCACAGUCGCAGACGAGGUAGGGAUACGUCCCUACCACCAAAUAAAUACUUGAACAACUGUUAACAAUGGAUAUCUUGGUUCUC
Molecule: unclassified non-coding RNA, 431 nt
Filed under: fungal sp.
Lineage: Eukaryota; Fungi
Description: partial internal transcribed spacer region
Rfam family: Eukaryotic small subunit ribosomal RNA (bases 1-46)
Source: RNAcentral